This 253-nucleotide ribosomal RNA is filed under the name uncultured bacterium. RNAcentral's name for it is "partial 16S ribosomal RNA". It matches the Rfam family "Bacterial small subunit ribosomal RNA", at positions 524 to 776 of the family's 1533-position model. The record is from RNAcentral.
UACGUAGGGGGCAAGCGUUGUCCGGAUUUAUUGGGCGUAAAGAGCGUGUAGGCGGCUUUGCAAGUCCGUUGUGAAAACUCGAGGCUCAACCUCGAGACGCCGAUGGAAACCAUUUGGCUAGAGUCCGGAAGAGGAGAGUGGAAUUCCUGGUGUAGCGGUGAAAUGCGCAGAUAUCAGGAGGAACACCUGUGGCGAAAGCGGCUCACUGGACCAUAACUGACGCUGAUGCACGAAAGCUAGGGGAGCAAACAGG